Molecule: ribosomal RNA, 92 nt
Filed under: Vibrio chemaguriensis
Lineage: Bacteria; Pseudomonadati; Pseudomonadota; Gammaproteobacteria; Vibrionales; Vibrionaceae
Description: partial 16S ribosomal RNA
Source: RNAcentral
AAACAACAUACAAGCAACCGCAGUAAUAUGUAUGAUGCGAGCGUUAUCCGAAAUUACUGAGAUAAAAGGAUGAGUAAACGGCAAUGUAAGUC